GUCUAGGGAAUACCCCGGAUCCGUUUUGCCCCCUGUCCCUAGCUUCAUAAUAAAAUUGUGGAGACUAUGUGGCAAAAGAAAAACAAGGGAUUUAAAAGAACGGGGGGGGGGAGGACCCUUAGGGGUCCCCCCCCCGGGAUCCGAAGGGUCCGCCACGCCCCGUCCCGAUUUAUAUGAAAAACCACUCUUUUUAUUAAGAUUACUGUCUAACACCGUACAAGUAAGAUAGUUUGGUUGGGGCGACCGCCUUCGAAAAAGUAUCGAAGGCGCACAUAAGAUUAAUCAGUAGAAGGAUCCGAAGGAUCUUUUUAUCGGGAGUAAUGUCCCAAAAAAAGGAGAUUAAUUUGACUGAGAGGGCAACAACCCGAACAGACGUCAAAGGAUAGACCGGGGGGGGAAU
This 400-nucleotide ribosomal RNA is filed under the name Placozoa sp. ME-2010. RNAcentral describes it as "partial 16S ribosomal RNA". Lineage: Eukaryota; Metazoa; Placozoa. The record is from RNAcentral.